CUAGUGUAGCUUAAUCAAAGCUUAACACUGGAGA
Molecule: transfer RNA, 34 nt
Filed under: Brachyplatystoma platynemum (slobbering catfish)
Lineage: Eukaryota; Metazoa; Chordata; Actinopteri; Siluriformes; Pimelodidae
Description: partial tRNA-Phe
Source: RNAcentral